ACGCGCGGAUCAGGAGCUUGCUCCUGUGACGCGAGUGGCGGACGGGUGAGUAACACGUAGGCAACCUGCCCAUCAGACUGGGAUAACCACGGGAAACCGUGGCUAAUACCGGAUAAUCCUUUUCCGCACAGGUGGGAAAGUUGAAAGGCGGUCUUUUGGCUGUCACUGAUGGAUGGGCCUGCGGCGCAUUAGCUGGUUGGUGGGGUAACGGCCCACCAAGGCGACGAUGCGUAGCCGACCUGAGAGGGUGAUCGGCCACACUGGGACUGAGACACGGCCCAGACUCCUACGGGAGGCAGCAGUAGGGAAUCUUCCGCAAUGGACGAAAGUCUGACGGAGCAACGCCGCGUGAGUGAAGAAGGGUUUCGGCUCGUAAAACUCUGUUGUCAGGGAAGAACGCCGACGGGAGUAACUGCCCGUCGGGUGACGGUACCUGACCAGAAAGCCACGGCUAACUACGUGCCAGCAGCCGCGGUAAUACGUAGGUGGCAAGCGUUAUCCGGAAUUAUUGGGCGUAAAGCGCGCGUAGGCGGUUCGUUAAGUCUGAUGUGAAAGCCCCCGGCUCAACCGGGGAGGGUCAUUGGAAACUGGCGGACUCGAGUGCAGAAGAGGAGAGUGGAAUUCCAUGUGUAGCGGUGAAAUGCGCAGAGAUAUGGAGGAACACCAGUGGCGAACGCGGCUCUCUGGUCUGCAACUGACGCUGAGGUGCGAAAGCGUGGGGAUCAAACAGGAUUAGAUACCCUGGUAGUCCACGCGUAAACGAUGAGUGCUAGUGUUAGGGGUUUCCGCCCCU
Molecule: ribosomal RNA, 793 nt
Filed under: uncultured bacterium
Lineage: Bacteria
Description: bacterial SSU rRNA
Rfam family: Bacterial small subunit ribosomal RNA
Source: RNAcentral